Non-coding RNA from Paramuricea clavata, 80 nucleotides. The record is from the annotation of a GenBank genome assembly. NCBI's taxonomy places the organism in Eukaryota, Metazoa, Cnidaria, Anthozoa, Malacalcyonacea, Plexauridae.
UAUGAUUCAAUGACUGACUCUGUGAAUCAUUGAAUCAUAAUAUUGAAUCAUUGAAUCAUAGAGUGAGUCAUUGAAUCAUA